RNAcentral lists this ribosomal RNA (483 nucleotides) under uncultured bacterium. RNAcentral's name for it is "partial 16S ribosomal RNA". It matches the Rfam family "Bacterial small subunit ribosomal RNA", at positions 28 to 507 of the family's 1533-position model. The record is from RNAcentral.
GACGAACGCUGGCGGCGUGCUUAACACAUGCAAGUCGAACGCUGAAGCCCAGCUUUUGUUGGGUGGAUGAGUGGCGAACGGGUGAGUAACACGUGAGUAACCUGCCCCCUUCUUUGGGAUAACGCCCGGGAACGGGUGCUAAUACUGGAUAUUCACUGGUCUUCGCAUGUGGGCUGGUGGAAAGGGUUUUUCUGGUGGGGGAUGGGCUCGCGGCUUAUCAGCUUGUUGGUGGGGUGAUGGCCUACCAAGGCUUUGGCGGGUAGCCGGCCUGAGAGGGUGACCGGUCACAUUGAGACGGCGAUACGGCCCAGACGCGUACGGGGUGCAGAAGUGGGGAAUAUGGAACAAUGGGUGAAAGCCUGAUGCAGCGUGGGCGCGUGAGGGAUGGAGGCCUUCGGGUUGUGAAGCUCUUGCGCUCAUAGUCAAGCCGCAACAAUGGUUGUGGUGAGGGUAGUGGGUAAAGAAGCGCCGGCUAACUACGUG